GGUGGACAGGUCGACUCCGCCCAUCAGAAGCAGCCCUGUUUUGAAGCUGAAUGGGGACCCACUCCGUUCCCCCUCACUUGUGAAGAAACAGGAACCUCCACAUGAAACGCAAACCGGCCUCAGCAGGGAUCAAACUGCAGGUUACUUCUACAGGUGUCAUGUGUGUGGGUUCGAAAUGGAGGGGCGUGUCCUUUUCCAGAGUCACAUGACAGAGCACCGCCAAUGGGAGCACGGA
Molecule: long non-coding RNA, 235 nt
Organism: Pleuronectes platessa (European plaice)
Lineage: Eukaryota; Metazoa; Chordata; Actinopteri; Pleuronectiformes; Pleuronectidae
Exons: 4
Source: RefSeq, a predicted model, not a curated record